Molecule: long non-coding RNA, 2420 nt
Organism: Camelina sativa (false flax)
Lineage: Eukaryota; Viridiplantae; Streptophyta; Magnoliopsida; Brassicales; Brassicaceae
Source: RefSeq, a predicted model, not a curated record
UAACUCCAAAAAUUACUUCCGAUUCGAAAAUUUGGAUGAUAUCUAUCGUAGAAGAAUCAAUCAUCACAUCUCUUUCGGUACGUUUUUCUAAUUUUUAUGUAAUUUUUUAUGUUGGACUACAUGAAUAUGGUUAAUGCUAUCUUUGUGUUUUGUAAUCUAGAAACUUUUAAGGAAUUGUGAAACUUUGUGUACUGGUCCCUCCAAUAGAAAAGUACAAAAUUGAACUUUUUAGGAAAAUAGUUACAUGUGAAUGUUAAAAAGCUUUGGAGACAUUCAUUGUAAAGAUAAUUCCUGUAUUUUUCCAAAAAAAUAGAUGUUUGCGGAUGUGUAGUAGCUGUAGAGGACAGAGGAAAUAAUGGAAAUGGUGAUAAUGAAGUAAUUUUGACACUAUUAAAUGGCAGGUAAUACACAUUUAUUCAAUCUUUACUGAUUCUAAGAGUUAUAAGUUUGGCUUUACUAUAGUAUGUAACAAGUAUCUUCAUCUGUAGGAAUGAAACUCUUAUGGGAGCCUUUUCAUGUCUUUAUGGGAGUCAUCUGGAUGCCAUCUCACAUAUCAAACUGAACCGGUGUUUUCUGUACUGUGUUUUUUGAAGGUUGGAGAGUAUGAAGGUAUAUACUAUUAAUAACACUUGCUAUAUUUAACAAAUGCUAAAGACUAGGUUAUAUACACAUUUACCAAAGUUUUAUAACACUUUAAACAUCCCUAGGUGAACCGUGUAUUGUAAACACAUUGGCCUCCUCCAAAAUCUUUAUAAAACCGGAGUUUGAAGGACUUGAGCAUCAUAAGGCUAUGUAAAUUUUUAAAGUUCAUUAAUAUCAAGAAUUGUAUCAUGCUAGGGUUUAACUUAUGAAUGUGUUUUUAUAUGUGUAGCUCCGAAUUUGCUGGACGAUAUUACAUAAAUCAUAUCAUGGAGCAUCAAGGUGAAUCUUCAGGGGCUUAAGCUGAAGGCACAUUAGUUUGAAAACGUCUUUUGUAAAUGCAAACUUUAAAAUUAUUUUGAAUGUUUGUAUAAACAAGUACUAGAAAUGUUUUUAUGGGUUGCUUUCCUAAUUUAAAUUAUCCAUAAAAAUGUAUUGGGCUCAUUAAAUAUUUUAAAAUUUGCAAAUGGGCUUCAAAAUCUUAAUUAAAAGUUUACAUGCAUAUAUUAUAGACAACUAUAAUAAAGAUCUUAUUAACUAUUAUUAAUACUAGGGAUGAGAACCCGCGCGUUGCGCGGGGUUGUAUGCUAAUGAUGUUUGGUUUAUAGUUAUGUUGAUUCAGUGAAAUAUCUUUAAUAUAAAACUUAUAUAUAUAUACUGUUUUGUGAAAUAAUUUUUAAAAACCUGUUUUUUUUUUUUGUUUGGACCUAGUGUUUUUUAUCCUUAGCACAUAUGCUUAGCCGGGACCAAUGCUAAUUUAUCUUGUAAGGGGUUUUUUUAAAAAAAAUGUUUUUGAUUAUAUGUAUUUGGUUGGAGGUUUGGCUUAGAGUGUGUGCUCGUGUCUAAGUACAUUCUAUUAUUUUAUCUGAAAUUAUUAGUAGCUCAAGGUCCAACUUUUAAGAUUUUAAAAUUAUAGAACGAAAAGCAUUUAUUUAUUUACUUUAGUAUAUGUUUUUUUUUUAGCCAGCCCAGUUGAGGUGUAAAAUUUAAUCCAUUUCGUUUAUAAAAUUUUGUCCACUUUUGUUAUUUAAGUGACUAUUGGGCUUGUUAUGAGAGUUAGGCCUAUUAGCAAAAGAAAAAGGGUCAAAUAAAUAAAGUGUGAUUUUUUGAGCAACGGAUAGAAGAUUUUCCUCUAACAAUCGUGAGCUGGAAGCACACCGACGACAAAACCUUAUAGGAUUCGUUAUUAGUUUUGCCGAGACAGUUGACAAAAUCCAAAUCGAUUUGUGAUAUCAGCCUAUUAAAUCAAAAAGCUGGACAAAACCUUAUCGUCAUCUUCCCGAUAUCUCUGCGGAGAUUAACGAUUCUACUUCUAUGGAUUUUUCUUCGUCAAGGUCCCAUGGCUUGCGAAACCCUAAUCAGCUUCUCCGUCUCCAAAAAAAAUUCAGAACCAAGAAACAUCUCUCUGAGGGAUUUGGAUCUGUUUUAUGAUUGGCGCUACCUCAUACAUUGUUGAUGUCAGGUUCUGCGGGAUGAUGUUUGCAAAGAGCCUUCCUUAAGAAGCCUUCCUUAAGAAGUAUUCUAUCGGAUCCAAUUUCGUGAGUACCAUUUUUCCCUUAGUGUAUAACUUAUCUAUGACGAACAAAUCUCCUCUCUUAAUAUUGUUACUUUGAAUAAAUUGCUAAUCUAUGUUAAUCUGAUCACGUAAAAAGGACCCUAGCUAGGUUUUCUUGAGUGCUGGCAACUGACAAGACCUUUUCCAAACUUAUCGUCUAAGUAUUUUUCUAUUGUUAUUUAGCAAGUAGUACUCUAAGACUAAUCUUUUCGACACAUUGAGUUCA